UGGGGAAUUUUCCCCAAUGGGCGCAAGCCUGAGGGAGCAACGCCGCGUGGAGGACGACGGCCUUCGGGUUGUAAACUCCUUUCGGGUGGGACGAUGCUGACGGUACCACCAGAAGCAGCCCCGGCUAACUCUGUGCCAGCAGCCGCGGUAAGACAGAGGGGGCAAGCGUUGUCCGGAGUUACUGGGCGUAAAGGGCGCGCAGGCGGUGGGCUGCGUCGGCGCUGAAAGCGCCCCGCUUAAGGGGGCGAG
Molecule: ribosomal RNA, 249 nt
Filed under: uncultured Chloroflexus sp.
Lineage: Bacteria; Bacillati; Chloroflexota; Chloroflexia; Chloroflexales; Chloroflexaceae
Description: partial 16S ribosomal RNA
Rfam family: Bacterial small subunit ribosomal RNA
Source: RNAcentral